This is an RNA transcript of Cryptomeria japonica (Japanese cedar), 1333 nucleotides long. It is a transcript of the gene named large ribosomal subunit protein uL10-like, with no coding region annotated. The transcript is spliced from 6 exons. Lineage: Eukaryota; Viridiplantae; Streptophyta; Pinopsida; Cupressales; Cupressaceae. The record is from RefSeq and is a predicted model, not a curated record.
UCCCCUCUAACACCCACAGAUUUUCUUUUCUCCUCUACCAUCCACAUUUUUAACACUCAGCAUGAAAAUGACGCUUUGCGUCUCUUGUUUUGUAGGGCUUAUGGAAAUCUCACCUAUCUAAUGCAAAAUAAAACUGCACACAGGAGCCUAAUGAACAGCUGAGCGUGAAAAUUAGAGGCGAAGAUGUUUACGCUUGCACAGGCUGCGCAUAUGACAGAGGUGGCCUUGAGUGUGAGGAGGGCCAGCCCGACGCUGCGCCAUUUUUCAGUGGCCUUGAAUUAUCAUUUGGAUUCUCAGCACAACAACCCCAAUGUGCCCUGCGAUUUUACAGAACUUAACAAGGAGCAGAGGGUGGGGAUAAGUUAUCAGUAUUUGAGUCGCAGGGCUUUCAGUCUGUCAUCUGGAAAAGUUAUUAGCAAGGAGGAGAAAGCAGGUCAGGAUGCCUUCAUGAGGUCACUCAAUGAGAAAAUGAAUCAGAUGAACCUGGGGAAACUUGGAAGCAAGUCAGUAGGCAAAGAAUCAUCUGACCUGCCAUCCGCCAAAUAUCAUGGAGCCGUUCCUGGCAAUGAUACUGCAUUGCUGUCCAGGUCAGAGAAAAAGAUGGUUCACAACAAGAAGGUAUACAAGUUGAUUGAGGAAUAUGAUCAGUUGUUGGUAUGCUCGGCAGACAAUGUGGGACCCCAUCAGUUACAAUCCAUCCGUCAGCAUCUGAGGCCUAACUCAGUUGUUUUCUUGGGCAAAAAUGCAAUGAUGAAGACAGCCAUAAAGGCUUUUGCAGAGAAGUCUGGGACUAUUGUUUAUCAGAACAUGAUACCCUUGCUUGUGGGAAAUGUUGCUCUUAUUUUCACAAAAGGUGGCUUGAUUGAUGCAGUUGUACCCCCUGGCAACACGGUUUUAGAGCUCAUGAAGAAGGGAGAGAAAGCCAGUUCUUCUGAGGCAGAUUUGCUUGCCAAGCUUGGUAUUCUCCCAUUGUCACAUGGACUUGUCGUGAAGGCUAUGUAUGGAAAUAGAUCAGUAUUUGAUCCUGCUGUCCUUGAUAUUGUAGAGGAAGAAUUAAAAGAAAAAUUUUCUGCUGUUUUUUCUUUGUGGCAACCGUUUCUAUCUCUCUCAACAAUCCUACAUUAGCAGCUGCCCCAUGUUAAUUCAAUAAAUAAUGUUUUUUUCACAUAUUUCGGAUGCAUCUUCGUGGUUAUAAUUGCUACUUGAGUGCAGAGAUGCUUCUUAAUUGUAGUCUCAUCUUGUCUUGAGCUUUACUAAAUUAUAAGGCAGAAACAAUGAAACUGUUUUAGUUAGUUCUCAAAUUUUUUAAUUGUACCAUUUCAAUUUUGAACCA